Molecule: ribosomal RNA, 292 nt
Filed under: uncultured bacterium
Lineage: Bacteria
Description: partial 16S ribosomal RNA
Rfam family: Bacterial small subunit ribosomal RNA
Source: RNAcentral
GUGUCAGCAGCCGCGGUAAUACAGAGGGGGCAAGCGUUAUUCGGAAUUAUUGGGCGUAAAGGGCGCGUAGGCGGUCCUUCAAGUCUCUCGUGAAAUCCCUCGGCUUAACUGAGGACGUGCGGGAGAUACUGCUGGGCUUGAGUCCGGAAGAGGGUGGUGGAAUUCCCAGUGUAGCGGUGAAAUGCGUAGAUAUUGGGAGGAACACCGGUGGCGAAGGCGGCCACCUGGGCCGGAACUGACGCUGAGGCGCGAAAGCGUGGGGAGCAAACGGGAUUAGAUACCCCUGUAGUCC